This 239-nucleotide long non-coding RNA is filed under the name Gossypium barbadense (sea-island cotton). RNAcentral's name for it is "long non-coding RNA (GBAR_LNC004340)". The record is from RNAcentral. Lineage: Eukaryota; Viridiplantae; Streptophyta; Magnoliopsida; Malvales; Malvaceae.
AAAUUUUUAGUUUAGUUGUGCUUAAGCAUUCGGCAUUAAUAGUUGAUAUUAGCUAUGAAAGUAUGAAAGAUUAGAGAUUAUUUUUUUAAAAUGAAUUAUGACCUUAAUAUGAACAAGAUAGAAAGUCGGUUAUAGAUGUGAUUGAGUGAUUCGGUCAUUGAUGGGCAUUAUGGUAACCUAAUUGUAGUUUGCUACCUUUAAUUUCGAGAUGGAAAUUGUAUAUAUAAGCUAAGUUGAGC